AUCCAUGAUACGUGAGGCCAGGAGCGCUUCUUCCCCGGUUCCUCGACCCCUCGCUUCUCGUCGUCACGGUCUUCACUCCUGAGUCGGGAUGCAUGGGUGAGACCGCCGCUGCCGCCGCCUCCCAAGCGACCUCCCCCUCCGUCUCCCAAGCGACCUCACCCUCCGCUGUCGUGUCCGCGAGCAAGACCCCCACCCCCGACGCCAGCACUUCGGCCUUCGUCUGCAUCUCCUCUCGAACUCCGCCAUGAAUGAGAUCCCCGCCGCCGCUGUCGUGGAUCCACCCUCCGCCCCUCUAUCAUGGCCUUUGCUGUGCCUCCCUUGCGAGCCUGCACAUCCUCCUCUGCUUGAUAUUGGAGAGGAAGAAUUGCAGGCCUGCAUCCACUAGCGGAGACGACCUGCUGGAUUUGGUCCUGGGCGUGGGCGAUUCAAGUAUCUUGUCCAGCUGUAGCACUUGAGCGCGGCCGGUGGAUCGUCAAGAUCCACAAGAGCCUAGAGAUGUCAAGCAGAGCCUAUGACAUUGCAUGACCAUGUGUGCAUGGCAUCGGUGCAGUGGCACCUUUGGCCAUUGGUGGCAGCACGAGUGGUAGCGCACUGGUUGAUUGAGAUGACACAUCAUUUAGCAGUUACCAAGUACCU
Long non-coding RNA from Panicum virgatum (switchgrass), 636 nucleotides. RefSeq lists it as uncharacterized. The transcript has 3 exons. NCBI's taxonomy places the organism in Eukaryota, Viridiplantae, Streptophyta, Magnoliopsida, Poales, Poaceae. The record is from RefSeq and is a predicted model, not a curated record.